Molecule: long non-coding RNA, 1685 nt
Organism: Monodelphis domestica (gray short-tailed opossum)
Lineage: Eukaryota; Metazoa; Chordata; Mammalia; Didelphimorphia; Didelphidae
Source: Ensembl
AAAACUUAACAUUUUGGCUUUUGAAUCCAAAAUUUGAUUUCUGCUUAAUAAAUUGCAUUUUUAGAAAUAUUUGUCAUCAGUGUCUCAAAGUUUAGAAGAGAAUAGAACUAAAAUGAGAAAUGAAUACAUUCCUUCUUUGGAAAUAUAAAUUAUUGGGAGAGAUAAAUGCUCUGAGUUAUUCCAAAAUUUGAAAUCAGUUCCAUAUAAUACUUUAGAAGCUAUAGGCUUCUAUAGACUUUGGACCAUGGCUAAGGAAUGAACUGUAACUAUACCAAAUAAUAAUAUUGUCAUUUAUCUUGUCAGAACAUUUUUUCCUUAUCAAGCAUGUUUUCCAUUACAUGGGAUUACUAUUUUGUUGUGGUGGUGGUUGAAUUAUUUCUGACUUUUCAUGACCUCAUUUGGAUUUUUUGGCAAAGAUAAAAUUUGUCAUUUUCUUCACCUCAUUUUACAGAUGAAGAACUGAGGCAAACAGAAGACCAGUGGCUGGCCCAUGUUCAUACUGCUAUGCUCCAGCCUUGGGUCCAAAGCUCCAUCCAGAAUUUUGGUAUGGCAUCUGAUAAAUAGUUAUACUGGAAGUAAACUUGGAUUAUUUUAUAUUUCUUCACUGGCUCAGAGAAAUUCAACAAAAUCAUUCCCUUGGCCAUUCACUCUCAAUCUGUUCCUAGACCUUCCAUUUCUAAAUCCCUUCUACAUCCAAGAUCAUUUCAAGUUUUGGGAGAUACUAGCUGGCAAGAAAGAAAACCCUUUGCAGGCUUGCCUACAUUGUACUUUACUGUUUUCUAUGGCUUAAGAAAAGGGAAAACCCUCAGUCCGCAGAGAAUGGACCUGAUUAGGUUGGUAGAGUCCAUACAUGAAGAAACUGCUGCUUCACUUACAAGAAUGUAAUGCUGCAGUGUGACUGGAAAGUAGUAUCCAAGGAGUUUUGUCCAGAAAGAGAGUAGAGAAGCUCUGAAGAACAGCUUGGUUUUGCAGGUUUAAAAGAGAUUCGUGACAUGCAGAUCUACAGUCCAGACUUGGGAAAUGACCUACAUACAUAGUUUCUCCUAUUCAUGAGUCUCACUGGUAAGUUUUUAUAAAUAUGUGCCCACUUUCCCCUAGAGGCUGCAUAUAUUGUGUAAGGGAGGAAUUAAUCCAAAGCGCGGGGGUGGUGCAAAGAAAAAAAAGAAAAAAAACCUCAAGAUUCCAGAGCACAGAAGGAGGAUGGGUGAACUCCAACUGACUUGGUCACUACUUCUUCAGCCAAGAGCCGGAAGGAGGCAAACCUCCCAAGCUGGGAAGAAGCCAGAUUUCUCUGGGAAUCAACAGCUUUCCCUGUGAACCCCUAGACACCUCUUCCCCAUUCUCAACAACAGCAUAUCUGUGAAUAUUGUAGACAGGGACUUUGAAAGGAAACCAUCUACGGAGAAAUCUGCUGUCAAAAUCUCCUUCUACAUUUCUUCCUGUCCUGUUCCUGGAUGCCUGAAUUGAAAUUUAAUUAGCUGAGGAAUAGGGAUCAACCAACAGCUAACCAGAAGAGGGUUCAAGGCACUCAGCCUUGAACCCCAAAAACUUGGGGGGACCAGUUUACCAGAGGGAAAAAGUGUUAGGGCUUCCUGUUCCUCCAUUUUUCAUGCCUGACACCCUUAUCUCUCUUUCCCUGAGUGAACCCAAAUAAAUUGUUUACUACUUUAGAAUUAGGUCUGGCU